This 426-nucleotide ribosomal RNA is filed under the name uncultured bacterium. RNAcentral's name for it is "partial 16S ribosomal RNA". It matches the Rfam family "Bacterial small subunit ribosomal RNA", at positions 608 to 1029 of the family's 1533-position model. The record is from RNAcentral.
CUCAACCUCGGAAGGCCUUUGGAUACUGGCAGGCUCGAGUACGGGAGAGGAGAGCGGAAUUCCUGGUGUAGCGGUGAAAUGCGUAGAUAUCAGGAGGAACACCCGUGGCGAAAGCGGCUCUCUGGCCCGAUACUGACGCUGAGGCCCGAAAGCGUGGGGAGCGAACAGGAUUAGAUACCCUGGUAGUCCACGCCGUAAACGUUGUGCGCUAGGUGUGGGAGGAUAUCGACCCCUUCCGUGCCGCAGCUAACGCAUUAAGCGCACCGCCUGGGGAGUACGCCCGCAAGGGUGAAACUCAAAGGAAUUGACGGGGGCCCGCACAAGCGGUGGAGCAUGUGGUUUAAUUCUAUGCAACGCGAAGAACCUUACCCAGGCUUGACAUCUCGGGAAUCCUCUGGAAACGGAGGCGUGCCCUUCGGGGAACCC